RNAcentral lists this long non-coding RNA (231 nucleotides) under Gossypium raimondii (Peruvian cotton). Its description in RNAcentral is "long non-coding RNA (GRAI_LNC008892)". The record is from RNAcentral. Lineage: Eukaryota; Viridiplantae; Streptophyta; Magnoliopsida; Malvales; Malvaceae.
GAGUGAGUCCACACUUGUUGCACCAGUUGUUGAUACAAUGAGGAGGUUCUGUCAAUUAAGAUGGUUCACCCAGAGGACAAAAAGUCGUAGAAAGGCUAGGGUGACCAAGUAUGGAUGUUGGGAGAGAGCUUCGUUAGAGAGGGAAAGUGUCUUGAUCCCUGUUCUUGGUUUCUAUAAGCCUUUAAAGGAUUCUCUUAGAUAGUUCUUGAUGUUCCACAAGUUGCUGUCGGG